This 380-nucleotide ribosomal RNA is filed under the name uncultured bacterium. RNAcentral's name for it is "bacterial SSU rRNA". It matches the Rfam family "Bacterial small subunit ribosomal RNA", at positions 74 to 450 of the family's 1533-position model. The record is from RNAcentral.
GUUCCUUCGGGAACGGCUUAGCGGCGGACGGGUGAGUAACACGUAGGCAACCUGCCCGCAAGUCCGGGAUAACUCACGGAAACGUGAGCUAAUACCGGGUAAUCGGCCCCCUCGCCUGAGGGAGCCGUGAAAGGCGCUUCGGCGCCGCUUGCGGAUGGGCCUGCGGCGCAUUAGCUGGUUGGCGGGGUAACGGCCCACCAAGGCGACGAUGCGUAGCCGACCUGAGAGGGUGAUCGGCCACACUGGGACUGAGACACGGCCCAGACUCCUACGGGAGGCAGCAGUAGGGAAUCUUCGGCAAUGGGGGAAACCCUGACCGAGCAACGCCGCGUGAGUGAGGAAGGUCUUCGGAUCGUAAAGCUCUGUUGCCAGGGAAGAAC